AGCAGUAGCCGCGGGAAAACGUAGGUGGCAAGCGUUGUCCGGAAUUAUUGGGCGUAAAGCGCGCGCAGGUGGUUUAAUAAGUCUGAUGUGAAAGCCCACGGCUCAACCGUGGAGGGUCAUUGGAAACUGGGAAACUUGAGUGCAGAAGAGGAGAGUGGAAUUCCACGUGUAGCGGCGAAAUGCGUAGAGAUGUGGAGGAACACCAGUGGCGAAGGCGACUCUCUGGUCUGUAACUGACGCUGAGGAGCGAAAGCGUGGGGAGCGAACAGGAUUAGAUACCCCAGUAGUCCCUGUCUCUUAUAC
Molecule: ribosomal RNA, 303 nt
Filed under: uncultured bacterium
Lineage: Bacteria
Description: partial 16S ribosomal RNA
Rfam family: Bacterial small subunit ribosomal RNA
Source: RNAcentral